Molecule: ribosomal RNA, 347 nt
Filed under: uncultured bacterium
Lineage: Bacteria
Description: bacterial SSU rRNA
Rfam family: Bacterial small subunit ribosomal RNA
Source: RNAcentral
AGAGUUUGAUCCUGGCUCAGGAUGAACGCUAGCUACAGGCUUAACACAUGCAAGUCGAGGGGCAGCAUGUUGGUUGCUUGCAACCAACGAUGGCGACCGGCGCACGGGUGAGUAACGCGUAUCCAACCUACCCUUGUCCAUCGGAUAACCCGUCGAAAGGCGGCCUAACACGGUAUGCGGUUCUCAGCAGGCAUCUAACGAGAACGAAAUGUGAAGGAGAAGGAUGGGGAUGCGUCUGAUUAGCUUGUUGGCGGGGUAACGGCCACCAAGGCGACGAUCAGUAGGGGUUCUGAGAGGAAGGUCCCCACAUUGGAACUGAGACACGGUCCAAACUCCUACGGGAGGCA